Molecule: long non-coding RNA, 305 nt
Organism: Oncorhynchus tshawytscha (Chinook salmon)
Lineage: Eukaryota; Metazoa; Chordata; Actinopteri; Salmoniformes; Salmonidae
Source: Ensembl
GGUGGCCUAGUGGUUAGAGUGUAGGGACGGCAGGUAGCCUAGUGGUUAGAGUGUAGGGACGGCAGGUAGCCUAGUGGUUAGAGUGUAGGGACGGCGGGUAGCCUAGUGGUUAGAGUGUAGGGACGGCAGGUAGCCUAGUGGUUAGAGUGUAGGGGCGGCAGGUAGCCUAGUGGUUAGAGUGUAGGGACGGCAGGUAGCCUAGUGGUUAGAGUGUAGGGACGGCAGGUAGCCUAAUGGUUAGAGUGUAGGGACGGCAGGUAGCCUAGUGGUUAGAGUGUAGGGACGGCAGGUAGCCUAAUGGUUAG